RNAcentral lists this transfer RNA (77 nucleotides) under Candidatus Melainabacteria bacterium. Its description in RNAcentral is "tRNA-Met". It matches the Rfam family "tRNA". From Rfam's summary of the family: Transfer RNA (tRNA) molecules are approximately 80 nucleotides in length. Their secondary structure includes four short double-helical elements and three loops (D, anti-codon, and T loops). Further hydrogen bonds mediate the characteristic L-shaped molecular structure. tRNAs have two regions of fundamental functional importance: the anti-codon, which is responsible for specific mRNA codon recognition, and the 3' end, to which the tRNAs corresponding amino acid is attached (by aminoacyl-tRNA synthetases). tRNAs cope with the degeneracy of the genetic code in two manners: having more than one tRNA (with a specific anti-codon) for a particular amino acid; and 'wobble' base-pairing, i.e. permitting non-standard base-pairing at the 3rd anti-codon position. Lineage: Bacteria; Bacillati; Candidatus Melainabacteria. RNAcentral also lists the same sequence under 1 other name. The record is from RNAcentral.
CGCGGGAUAGAGCAGUCUGGUAGCUCAUCUGGCUCAUAACCAGGAGGUCGUCAGUUCAAAUCUGACUCCCGCAACCA